RNAcentral lists this ribosomal RNA (394 nucleotides) under uncultured Rothia sp. Its description in RNAcentral is "bacterial SSU rRNA". It matches the Rfam family "Bacterial small subunit ribosomal RNA", at positions 958 to 1354 of the family's 1533-position model. The record is from RNAcentral. Lineage: Bacteria; Bacillati; Actinomycetota; Actinomycetes; Micrococcales; Micrococcaceae.
AACGCGAAGAACCUUACCAAGGCUUGACAUAUACUGGACCGCAUCAGAGAUGGUGUUUCCCUUCGGGGCUGGUAUACAGGUGGUGCAUGGUUGUCGUCAGCUCGUGUCGUGAGAUGUUGGGUUAAGUCCCGCAACGAGCGCAACCCUCGUUCUAUGUUGCCAGCACGUUAUGGUGGGGACUCAUAGGAGACUGCCGGGGUCAACUCGGAGGAAGGUGGGGAUGACGUCAAAUCAUCAUGCCCCUUAUGUCUUGGGCUUCACGCAUGCUACAAUGGCCGGUACAGAGGGUUGCGAUACUGUGAGUGGAGCUAAUCCCUAAAAGCCGGUCUCAGUUCGGAUUGGGGUCUGCAACUCGACCCCAUGAAGUCGGAGUCGCUAGUAAUCGCAGACAGCA